This 279-nucleotide long non-coding RNA is filed under the name Olea europaea (common olive). RNAcentral describes it as "long non-coding RNA (OEUR_LNC015078)". The record is from RNAcentral. Lineage: Eukaryota; Viridiplantae; Streptophyta; Magnoliopsida; Lamiales; Oleaceae.
GAGUUUGUAAGUAUUAUGCCCUAGGUCCAAUCAACUUUGGACAUAAAUACUUUUAUAUAUAAUUAAUGCAAUUAAAUGGCAGAUCUAUUAUUUAAUUAAUAGACAAUUAAAUAAAUAAUAGAGUCCGUAGAUUCAAAUAAUUGUAAUUUGUUAAUCACAAGGAGUUGUGAUUGUGAGAUACAAAUUACAUCUGAUUGAAUCUUAAAUCUUCCGUGGUCGUAAGUAAUAACGAGAUACGGAUAUCGUUAUUACGGAUAGACCAUCACAUGUGGCAUUUCU